Ornithorhynchus anatinus (platypus) is the source of this 400-nucleotide long non-coding RNA. RefSeq lists it as uncharacterized. The record is from RefSeq and is a predicted model, not a curated record. NCBI's taxonomy places the organism in Eukaryota, Metazoa, Chordata, Mammalia, Monotremata, Ornithorhynchidae. The transcript has 3 exons.
AUUGGGAAUGUGAGAGGGACUCUUUGAAGUCAGCACAUUAACUCUCUUCAACAGUGGCCUAUCCUGAAAGCAGCAAAGGUGAUUUAACUGAAAAAGAACACUCUACGAAGAAUUUGUCAAGUGGCAUCACCUAGCUGAAAGAGCAAGGGUUUGGAAGUCAAAAGACCGGUUCCAAUCCCCACUCUGUCUGCGGUGUGACCUUGGGAACCAUCUUUCUUUUGGGACUCUGAAGUGCUGAAGUACCAGGGAGAGCAAUAAUUUGGACUGGAAGAGCUGCAGAGGGCUUCAAGUGUAAAAUUGUUAUGGACUGUAUUACAUAAACAAUCCUUCAUUUUGUUUUCACACAUACUGACUCUUAGAAGUAUGCUAAUAAAUUUGAGGCAGGUAUUCAUUUGUGCAU